This 866-nucleotide long non-coding RNA is filed under the name Erythranthe guttata (spotted monkey flower). RNAcentral's name for it is "long non-coding RNA (EGUT_LNC003099)". The record is from RNAcentral. Lineage: Eukaryota; Viridiplantae; Streptophyta; Magnoliopsida; Lamiales; Phrymaceae.
AGGCUCAGAUGUGUGGGUGUGCGAUCGGUCAAAAAGACAAGAAUCACGCCAUGGCUGCAAAACCAUCGGUUGCAUCCGGUUUUGACCAGAUGCCAUCCGGGUCGCCCCGCCAAGAUACAGAUCCAUAUGUCCGAUUACCAGAUCCAUUAAUUAGCUCAGAAGAAUCCAGAAUCAUCAUCACAGCCCCUUCACAUCACAUUGUGAUGUAUAUAUAUACCUAUAUAUAUAUAUGUACUAUGUGUGUGUGUGUAUAUAUAUAGAGAGAGAGAGAGAGAGAGAGAGAGAGAGAGCGCAGCAUAUAUACAAACAAAUAAGGGUAAAUAGCAUUUUACCCCCUUGUGUUUUAUCCCAACAAAUAAAGAUCAAAUAGUACUGCUGCAGACAGCUGGUUGCUGAUCAGUUUUGCAAGGGCUGUUGGUUUGUUUUUUUUCUUCCUUAUUUUAAUGGAAGGUAAGAAAUCAUAGGGUUAACAGAGAGGGGGCAACCACCCUUUAAAAACUCCCAUUUCUCCACUGUGAACCCUCUUUCUCUCUCUUCUGAGCUUUUCACACCCAUCAAUUUACUAUGGCCUAAUCAGUUGUGAAGCUUUAUAUAUUAUUAUUAUUAUUCGUCCCCGGUUUCUACACGUUCUUCGAGACUCGGUUUUGGGCUUUGCUAACUCCGCUGUAUAUUAUUGUAAUAUCUCAAACAUAUUACAAAAACGGUAAAUUCCAAUUUCUCGCUUUUACUUUCGGUUCGAUAUCAUUUACUUUCGAUUGUAUCGAUUAAAAAAUUGUAUCAAUGUGGCUGUGGCUCUCUCCGUUAGUUUUCACACCUUUGAUCUUAACACCAUUUGAUCUAAGUCUGAAAAUCACAAAAAUAUUAUC